CCUACGGGUGGCAGCAGUGGGGGAUAUUGCACAAUGGGGGAAACCCUGAUGCAGCGACGCCGCGUGGGUGAAGAAGUAUUUCGGUAUGUAAAGCCCUAUCAGCAGGGAAGAAAGAAGACGGUACCUGACUAAGAAGCCCCGGCUAACUACGUGCCAGCAGCCGCGGUAAUACGUAGGGGGCGAGCGUUAUCCGGAUUCACUGGGUGUAAAGGGAGCGUAGACGGCCGUGCAAGCCAGGGGUGGAAGCCCGGGGCCCAACCCCGGGACUGCUCUUGGAACUGUGCGGCUGGAGUGCGGGAGGGGCAGGCGGAAUUCCUGGUGUAGCGGUGAAAUGCGUAGAUAUCAGGAGGAACACCGGCGGCGAAGGCGGCCUGCUGGACCGCGACUGACGUUGAGGCUCGAAAGCGUGGGGAGCGAACAGGAUUAGAUACCCGAGUAGUC
RNAcentral lists this ribosomal RNA (441 nucleotides) under uncultured bacterium. RNAcentral describes it as "partial 16S ribosomal RNA". It matches the Rfam family "Bacterial small subunit ribosomal RNA", at positions 338 to 795 of the family's 1533-position model. The record is from RNAcentral.